Molecule: ribosomal RNA, 446 nt
Filed under: uncultured bacterium
Lineage: Bacteria
Description: partial 16S ribosomal RNA
Rfam family: Bacterial small subunit ribosomal RNA
Source: RNAcentral
CCAGACUCCUACGGGAGGCAGCAGUGGGGGAUAUUGCACAAUGGGGGGAACCCUGAUGCAGCGACGCCGCGUGGGUGAAGGAGCGUUUCGGCGCGUAAAGCCCUAUCGGCAGGGAAGAAGGAGGACGGUACCUGACUAAGAAGCCCCGGCUAACUACGUGCCAGCAGCCGCGGUAAUACGUAGGGGGCAAGCGUUAUCCGGAUUUACUGGGUGUAAAGGGAGCGUAGGCGGUGCAGCAAGUCAGAAGUGAAAGCCCGGGGCUCAACUCCGGGACUGCUUUUGAAACUGUUGAACUAGAUUGCAGGAGAGGUAAGUGGAAUUCCUAGUGUAGCGGUGAAAUGCGUAGAUAUUAGGAGGAACACCAGUGGCGAAGGCGGCUUGCUGGACAGAGACUGACGUUGAGGCUCGAAAGCGUGGGGAGCAAACAGGAUUAGAUACCCGUGUAC